Molecule: transfer RNA, 83 nt
Filed under: Ochrobactrum phage vB_OspM_OC
Lineage: Duplodnaviria; Heunggongvirae; Uroviricota; Caudoviricetes; Pantevenvirales; Kyanoviridae
Description: tRNA-Leu
Rfam family: tRNA
About the family: Transfer RNA (tRNA) molecules are approximately 80 nucleotides in length.
Source: RNAcentral
GCGCUCUUGGUGGAAUUGGUAGACACGCUAGUCUCAAAAUCUAGUUCUUCGGAGUGCCGGUUCGAUUCCGGCAGAGCGCACCA